This 492-nucleotide ribosomal RNA is filed under the name uncultured bacterium. RNAcentral's name for it is "partial 16S ribosomal RNA". It matches the Rfam family "Bacterial small subunit ribosomal RNA", at positions 29 to 507 of the family's 1533-position model. The record is from RNAcentral.
AGUGAACGCUGGCGGUAGGCCUAACACAUGCAAGUCGAACGGCAGCACAGUAAGAGCUUGCUCUUACGGGUGGCGAGUGGCGGACGGGUGAGGAAUACAUCGGAAUCUACUUUUUCUUGGGUGAUAACGUAGGGAAACUUACGCUAAUACCGCAUACGACCUACGGGUGAAAGCAGUGGAUCUUCGGACCUUGCGCGAUUGAAUGAGCCGAUGUCGGAUUAGCUAGUUGGCGGGGUAAAGGCCCACCAAGGCGACGAUCCGUAGCUGGUCUGAGAGGAUGAUCAGCCACACUGGAACUGAGACACGGUCCAGACUCCUACGGGAGGCAGCAGUGGGGAAUAUUGGACAAAGGGCGCAAGCCUGAUCCAGCCAUACCGCGUGGGUGAAGAAGGCCUUCGGGUUGUAAAGCCCUUUUGUUGGGAAAGAAAAGCAGCAGGUUAAUACCCCGCUGUUCUGACGGUACCCAAAGAAUAAGCACCGGCUAACUUCGUG